This 497-nucleotide ribosomal RNA is filed under the name uncultured bacterium. Its description in RNAcentral is "partial 16S ribosomal RNA". It matches the Rfam family "Bacterial small subunit ribosomal RNA", at positions 28 to 507 of the family's 1533-position model. The record is from RNAcentral.
GAUGAACGCUGGCGGCGUGCCUAAUACAUGCAAGUCGAGCGAACGGACGAGAAGCUUGCUUCUCUGAUGUUAGCGGCGGACGGGUGAGUAACACGUGGAUAACCUACCUAUAAGACUGGGAUAACUUCGGGAAACCGGCGCUAAUACCGGAUGAUAUUUUGAACCGCAUGGUUCAAAAGUGAAAGACGGUCUUGCUGUCACUUAUAGAUGGAUCCGCGCUGCAUUAGCUAGUUGGUAAGGUAACGGCUUACCAAGGCAACGAUGCAUAGCCGACCUGAGAGGGUGAUCGGCCGCACUGGAACUGAAACACGGUCCAGACUCCUACGGGAGGCAGCAGUAGGGAAUCUUCCGCAAUGGGCGAAAGCCUGACGGAGCAACGCCGCGUGAGUGAUGAAGGUCUUCGGAUCGUAAAGAUCGGUUAUUAGGGAAGAACAUAUGUGUAAGUAGCUGUACACAGCUUGACGGUACCUAGUCAGAAAGCCACGGCUAACUACGUG